GGCUCUGUAGUGAAAUUCAUGGUGAGUUGCAAGCUCAUUGAUGUGCGUUGUAUGCACCAGGGCCU
Molecule: transfer RNA, 65 nt
Filed under: Cyanoderma ruficeps (rufous-capped babbler)
Lineage: Eukaryota; Metazoa; Chordata; Aves; Passeriformes; Timaliidae
Description: tRNA-Cys
Source: RNAcentral